Molecule: ribosomal RNA, 253 nt
Filed under: uncultured bacterium
Lineage: Bacteria
Description: partial 16S ribosomal RNA
Rfam family: Bacterial small subunit ribosomal RNA
Source: RNAcentral
UACGGAGGGUGCAAGCGUUAUCCGGAUUCACUGGGUUUAAAGGGUGCGUAGGUGGGUCGGUAAGUCAGUGGUGAAAUCCCCGAGCUUAACUUGGGAACUGCCAUUGAUACUAUCAGUCUUGAAUACCGUGGAGGUCAGCGGAAUAUGUCAUGUAGCGGUGAAAUGCUUAGAUAUGACAUAGAACACCAAUUGCGAAGGCAGCUGGCUACUCGGAUAUUGACACUGAGGCACGAAAGCGUGGGGAUCAAACAGG